This 844-nucleotide long non-coding RNA is filed under the name Cavia porcellus (domestic guinea pig). RNAcentral's name for it is "lncRNA (ENSCPOG00000039037.1)". Lineage: Eukaryota; Metazoa; Chordata; Mammalia; Rodentia; Caviidae. The record is from RNAcentral.
GGCAGCUGUCCUAACUGCUGGGAUUGGGAGAGCAUGAGCUUUUUCCUAUGUACCUGCCACAGGUGUCCAGUGCCCACAAGGAAUCAUGGCUGAGCAUUCUCCAGACAGCCCAGUCUGCCCACAUGUGAACCAGAGCAGAGCAGUGGACAUUCAUUUGGCGUGAAUGAAUAACCCUCUUAUAUGCUAAUUUAUACGCUUGAACAUUUAUAUGUGUUUGCUCGGAAGCUUACACAUCAGAAAUGAUUCAGCUCUCUACCUGCAGAAUCUUCUUCCUAUUUGUGAAACAUAUAACUUUGCCAUGUUAAUUUACUCUAAAUUUGGGGAAUUUUCUUCUUUUUUGUAGCUGUUGUUUCUGAAACGGAAAACUCAUCUCAGGAUGCCUUCCAACUUAGCAAACUGGGAGGAAAGGAUGAAAAAAAUCGUCAACUUCAAAAAAACUCAACAGGCUCCCAGGAUGGUCCUGUGAGCAUUCCCAGCAGCAGUGACAGCAGGGAGGACCCACUCCACAAAGCUCUAAAGAAGAAGAGCAUCAAGUCCUCCACUGGUCGUUUGUUUGGCAAAAAGGAAAAAGGGUCAGCCUGGACAAACUGGCAAAGAAUCACCAAGACAAGGUGGGCCGGUUUUUGGCAGCUGUCCUAACUGCUGGGAUUGGGAGAGCAUGAGCUUUUUCCUAUGUACCUGCCACAGGUGUCCAGUGCCCCCAAAGAAUCAUGGCUGAGCAUUCUCCAGACAGCCCAGUCUGCCCACAUGUGAACCAGAGCAGAGCAGUGGACAUUCAUUUGGCGUGAAUGAAUAACCCUCUUAUAUGCUAAUUUAUACGCUUGAACAUUUAUAUGUGUUUGCU